RNAcentral lists this ribosomal RNA (468 nucleotides) under uncultured bacterium. RNAcentral's name for it is "partial 16S ribosomal RNA". It matches the Rfam family "Bacterial small subunit ribosomal RNA", at positions 28 to 507 of the family's 1533-position model. The record is from RNAcentral.
GACGAACGCUGGCGGCGUGCUUAACACAUGCAAGUCGAACGGAAAGGCCCUGCUUUUGUGGGGUGCUCGAGUGGCGAACGGGUGAGUAACACGUGAGUAACCUGCCCUUGACUUUGGGAUAACUUCAGGAAACUGGGGCUAUAACCGGGUAGAAGCUCUUGCUCCGUGUGGGGGGUUGGAAAGUUUCGGCGGUGGGGGAUGGACUCGCUGCUUACGAGCUGGUUGGUGGGGUAGUGGCUUACAAGGCCUUUGACGGGUAGCCGGCCUGAGAGGGUGACCGGCCACAUUGGGACUGAGAUACGGCCCAGACUCCUACGGGAGGCAGCAGUGGGGAAUAUUGCACAAUGGGCGGAAGCCUGAUGCAGCAACGCCGCGUGCGGGAUGACGGCCUUCGGGUUGUAAACCGCUUUCGCCUGUGACGAAGCGUGAGUGACGGUAAUGGGUAAAGAAGCACCGGCUAACUACGUG